GCAUUGUUGGUCUAACGGUUAAGAUACCUCUCUUCCAAAGAGGUGGCCUGGGUUCGACUCCCAGACAAUGCA
Molecule: transfer RNA, 72 nt
Organism: Aspergillus wentii DTO 134E9
Lineage: Eukaryota; Fungi; Ascomycota; Eurotiomycetes; Eurotiales; Aspergillaceae
Rfam family: tRNA
About the family: Transfer RNA (tRNA) molecules are approximately 80 nucleotides in length. Their secondary structure includes four short double-helical elements and three loops (D, anti-codon, and T loops).
Source: Rfam